CCCUUGGAUGUUCUGGGCCGCACGCGCGCUACACUGAUGCAUUCAACGAGUUCCUACCUUGGCCGAGAGGCCUGGGCAAUCUUUUGAACUUGCAUCGUGAUAGGGAUAGAUUAUUGCAAUUAUUAAUCUUGAACGAGGAAUUCCUAGUAAACGCAGAUCAUCAAUCUGCAUUGAUUACGUCCCUGCCCUUUGUACACACCGCCCGUCGCACCUACCGAUUGAAUGGUCCGGUGAAGCCUCGGGAUUGUGGUUAGUUUCCUUCAUUGGAAGUUAGCCGCGAGAACUUGUCUAAACCUUAUCAUUUAGAGGAAGGUGAAGUCGUAACA
Molecule: ribosomal RNA, 326 nt
Filed under: uncultured eukaryote
Lineage: Eukaryota
Description: partial 18S ribosomal RNA
Rfam family: Eukaryotic small subunit ribosomal RNA
Source: RNAcentral